ACGUAGGGGGCGAGCGUUAUCCGGAAUUAUUGGGCGUAAAGCGCGCGCAGGCGGCUGAUUAAGUCAGGUGUGAAAGGCUGCGGCUCAACCGCAGAGCGGCACCUGAAACUGGUCAGCUUGAGUGCAGGAGAGGGGAGCGGAAUUCCCGGUGUAGCGGUGGAAUGCGUAGAGAUCGGGAGGAACACCAGUGGCGAAGGCGGCUCUCUGGCCUGUAACUGACGCUGAGGCGCGAAAGCGUGGGGAGCAAACGGGA
RNAcentral lists this ribosomal RNA (253 nucleotides) under uncultured prokaryote. Its description in RNAcentral is "partial 16S ribosomal RNA". It matches the Rfam family "Bacterial small subunit ribosomal RNA", at positions 525 to 777 of the family's 1533-position model. The record is from RNAcentral.